UACGUAGGUUGCAAGCGUUGUCCGGAAUUAUUGGGCGUAAAGAGCUCGUAGGCGGUCUGUCGCGUCGGCUGUGAAAUCCCGAGGCUCAACCUCGGGUCUGCAGUCGAUACGGGCAAACUGGAGUGUUGCAGGGGAGACUGGAAUUCCUGGUGUAGCGGUGAAAUGCGCAGAUAUCAGGAGGAACACCGGUGGCGAAGGCGGGUCUCUGGGCAACAACUGACGCUUAUGCACGAAAGCGUGGGGAGCAAACAGG
Molecule: ribosomal RNA, 253 nt
Filed under: uncultured bacterium
Lineage: Bacteria
Description: partial 16S ribosomal RNA
Rfam family: Bacterial small subunit ribosomal RNA
Source: RNAcentral